AGUGAUUGACUGAGGUCAGUCCCGUCCGCUUGGCCCAAAGUGCCGCAGGCCAGUGUGGGGUGAAAGUGCUACAGGGCAACGUACGCAGCUUACAGGGGACAAAGGCACCUGCUAGCUGUCUAGUGAGCCACCUGCAGAUAUGUGUACGAGUGAGGCAGAUGGGAGGAAAGUGACAACAGCUCUCUUAAGAAGAGGGCCAGAGCUUUGUAACAUGGCCUCCUAGCUGCCAGGAUGUAUCUCUAAGGGAUCGUCCAGCUUGGCUGAUGUACACCAUUUCCAUGGGAUGGAAAGACCUGAACAGCUGAAAACAAAAUACAGGCAAACAAAACCAGAGAGUAGUGAGUGGGGAUACAAUGUAGCCAGGAUACUAAGGCUAUUUCCCCUCUCUGUUCAGGCAUUACAUUAGCUGUGCUCACCACCAUAGUAUCUGAGCCCCUAAUUACUCACUUGAGCUGAUCUAAGGUUUGUCCAUCACUUGAAGUCUUUCAAGACUGGCUGAGUGUCUAACAGAGAACUUAUGGGCUUGAUGCAGGAGUCCCUGAGUGAGGGUUUUCUGUCCUGUGUUGUGCAGAAGGUCACACUAGAUGAUUGUAAUGAUCCCUUCCGGCCUUGAAGCCUAGAGUAACUCCCCUUGCAGUUUAAACUGGAGAAGUUAUUUUUAGCCCCUCUCCUGUGUAAUGAGGCAGGUGCAAAACCGAUGCUGUGUUUUCACUGUUGAGAUGGCUCCUUUUUAGUGCUGGACAAGGUGAUGCCUUUAGCUACUGCUCAAGCAUGUAGGGGUCUGUCUCAUCCGAUGAAAGAUGCUUAAUGCUUGUACAUUUUCUGGGAUGCCCACAAAUCAGUGCAUGCUGUGCUACACCGAACGACCACUGUAUGUCAUCGCAGUUCCACACAGGGAGCCAAGCAAGCUUAUACCGAGUGGCAAAGUGUGUUUCCUUAGGAAGACAAAUGGAAUGGUUUCAAAUUCUGUAGCACUUCUUUACUGUCUAGUGGCUAAAGCACAGGACAGGGAAUCAGGAGGGCUGGCUGCUGUUCCCAGCUCUGCUAGUGAGUUGAUGUGUAUCCUCGGAUAAGUCACUUACACUGGUAUUUUCAGGAGCCUAAAGAAGCCGGGUAUCCAACUCCCACUGAAAGACAAGGGGUUCCUAACUCCCUUAAGGCCAUUGAAGGUCCCAGACUCGGUUUUCCCAUGUCAAAGGCAGUGAUAAUAUCUACCUUCUGGGGGUGCUUUAAGGAUUGAUUCAUUGAUUUGCAAAUUGUUUUGAGAUCUUUGCACGGAUGGUGUAAUAGGUGCUCGGGUACUACAGUGCUGUGCAGAAGAGAAAAUCCUAGAUAGAGGCACACAGAACUAUUGGAGCUCAAGAAAAUGAGCUGAUAAGCCGCUUUGCAAACCAAAAUGUGCCUGGCUCUCUCCCUCCGCUCUGCCCCAGGUGCUGCUGCUUUGCUACCAGAGGGUUGAACUUGCCCUCAGGGAAGCAUCUCCCAAAAAGCUGCCUGUGUGUUAACAAAAAGCU
Molecule: long non-coding RNA, 1514 nt
Organism: Mauremys reevesii (Reeves's turtle)
Lineage: Eukaryota; Metazoa; Chordata; Testudines; Geoemydidae
Exons: 3
Source: RefSeq, a predicted model, not a curated record